Molecule: ribosomal RNA, 218 nt
Filed under: uncultured Staphylococcus sp.
Lineage: Bacteria; Bacillati; Bacillota; Bacilli; Caryophanales; Staphylococcaceae
Description: partial 16S ribosomal RNA
Rfam family: Bacterial small subunit ribosomal RNA
Source: RNAcentral
UAACUUCGGGAAACCGGAGCUAAUACCGGAUAAUAUUUCGAACCGCAUGGUUCGAUAGUGAAAGGUGGUUUUGCUAUCACUUAUAGAUGGACCCGCGCCGUAUUAGCUAGUUGGUAAGGUAACGGCUUACCAAGGCGACGAUACGUAGCCGACCUGAGAGGGUGAUCGGCCACACUGGAACUGAGACACGGUCCAGACUCCUACGGGAGGCAGCAGUC